This is a non-coding RNA of Schistocephalus solidus, 153 nucleotides long. The record is from Rfam. Lineage: Eukaryota; Metazoa; Platyhelminthes; Cestoda; Diphyllobothriidea; Diphyllobothriidae.
AACUCUAUGUGGUGGAUCACUUGGUUCGUGUGUCGAUGAAAAGCGCAACCAACUGUGUGAAUAAAUUUGAAUCGCAGACUGCUUUGAACGUCGACCUCUUGAACGGACAUUGUGGCCGUAGGCUUGCCUACGACCACGCCUGGCCGAGGGUCG